GCACUUUGGGAGGCCGAGGCAGGUGGAUCACGAGGUCAGGAGUAUGAGACCAGCCUGGCCAACAUAGUGAAACCCCAUCUCUACUAAAAGUAAAAAAAAAAAAAAAAAAAAAAAAAAAAAAAAAAAAUUAGCUGGGCGUGGUGGCAGGCACCUGUAGUCCCAGCUACUUGGGAGGCUGAGGCAGGAGAAUCGCUUGAACCUGGGAGGCAGAGGUUGCAGUGAGCCAAGAUUGUGCCAUUUCACUCCAGCCCGGGUGACACAGUGCAAGACUCCGUCUUACCAAAAAAAAAAGCAAGUGAAAUUGACAUUUUAAUUUAGUCUGACUGCAUUUUUCUAUAAUUUUCUAAGAAUUUGUCACUUUUUAGUAUUUUCUCUUUUCUGAUAAACUGUUCCAGCUUUUCAUCACUUUUUAAUCAGCUUUCAUCAGUUUUAUCAUACUCAACCUCUGGUAUUUUUCUUUGUAUGCUCUCUUUUUCUCCUUUUUUUGUUUUGUUCAUGAGACAGGUCUUGCUCUGUUGCCCAGGCUGGAAUGCAGUGGUGUAAUCUUGGCUCAUUGCAGCCUCAACCACCUGGGCUUAAGCGAUCCUCCUAUCUCAGCCUCCCAAAGUAGUUGGGACC
This 618-nucleotide long non-coding RNA is filed under the name Homo sapiens (human). RNAcentral describes it as "HSALNT0341478". The record is from RNAcentral. Lineage: Eukaryota; Metazoa; Chordata; Mammalia; Primates; Hominidae.